UUUAAAUGACGUUCGGCUAAGUUCCUCACGUCCUGUGAGAACGCCGAACUGGCUUGUCCUGGAUA
RNAcentral lists this small RNA (65 nucleotides) under Alteribacillus bidgolensis. Its description in RNAcentral is "Bacillaceae-1 RNA". It matches the Rfam family "Bacillaceae-1 RNA". The record is from RNAcentral. Lineage: Bacteria; Bacillati; Bacillota; Bacilli; Caryophanales; Bacillaceae.